GAUGAACGCUGGCGGCGUGCCUAAUACAUGCAAGUCGAGCGAACGGACGAGAAGCUUGCUUCUCUGAUGUUAGCGGCGGACGGGUGAGUAACACGUGGAUAACCUACCUAUAAGACUGGGAUAACUUCGGGAAACCGGCGCUAAUACCGGAUAAUAUUUUGAACCGCAUGGUUCAAAAGUGAAAGACGGUCUUGCUGUCACUUAUAGCUGGAUCCGAGCUGCAUUAGCUAGUUGGUAAGGUAACGGCUUACCAAGGCAACGAUGCAUAGCCGACCUGAGAGGGGGAUCGGCCACACUGGAAGUGAGACACGGUCCAGACUCCUGAGGGAGGCAGCAGUAGGGAAUCUUCCGCAAUGGGCGAAAGCCUGACGGAGCAGCGCCGCGUGAGUGAUGAAGGUCUUCGGAUCGUAAAACUCUGUUAUUAGGGAAGAACAUAUGUGUAAGUAGCUGUGCACAUAUUGACGGUACCUAGUCAGAAAGCCACGGCUAACUACGUG
Molecule: ribosomal RNA, 497 nt
Filed under: uncultured bacterium
Lineage: Bacteria
Description: partial 16S ribosomal RNA
Rfam family: Bacterial small subunit ribosomal RNA
Source: RNAcentral